Molecule: ribosomal RNA, 481 nt
Filed under: Lactobacillus gasseri
Lineage: Bacteria; Bacillati; Bacillota; Bacilli; Lactobacillales; Lactobacillaceae
Description: bacterial SSU rRNA
Rfam family: Bacterial small subunit ribosomal RNA
Source: RNAcentral
GACGAACGCUGGCGGCGUGCCUAAUACAUGCAAGUCGAGCGAGCUUGCCUAGAUGAAUUUGGUGCUUGCACCAAAUGAAACUAGAUACAAGCGAGCGGCGGACGGGUGAGUAACACGUGGGUAACCUGCCCAAGAGACUGGGAUAACACCUGGAAACAGAUGCUAAUACCGGAUAACAACACUAGACGCAUGUCUAGAGUUUAAAAGAUGGUUCUGCUAUCACUCUUGGAUGGACCUGCGGUGCAUUAGCUAGUUGGUAAGGUAACGGCUUACCAAGGCAAUGAUGCAUAGCCGAGUUGAGAGACUGAUCGGCCACAUUGGGACUGAGACACGGCCCAAACUCCUACGGGAGGCAGCAGUAGGGAAUCUUCCACAAUGGACGCAAGUCUGAUGGAGCAACGCCGCGUGAGUGAAGAAGGGUUUCGGCUCGUAAAGCUCUGUUGGUAGUGAAGAAAGAUAGAGGUAGUAACUGGCCUUAUAG